Molecule: long non-coding RNA, 510 nt
Filed under: Pan troglodytes (chimpanzee)
Lineage: Eukaryota; Metazoa; Chordata; Mammalia; Primates; Hominidae
Description: long non-coding RNA NONPTRT010083
Source: RNAcentral
GUUUUGCAAUUAUAAACUUAGAGGCUAUUUUGUUUUCAAACCACAUGUAGAUUUUGUGUCAUGUCGAAAACUGAAAUUUAAAUUACAAAAAAGUAAAUACUUCUGAAAAAAACGUUUGGAAGUAAAUGGAACAAGAGUAGCAAAUGUUGAAAAUUGAAGCUACAUGAAAGGUACAUGGAGUUCAUUAUACUGUCUUCUUUUGUGUAUUUGAACUUUUCCAUAAUAAAAUAUUAAAACAGGCCAGGCACAGUGGCUUUUGCCUGUAAUCCCAGCACUUUGGGAGGCCAAGGUGGGCGGAUCACCUAAAGUCAAGAGUUCAAGACCAGCCCGGCCAACAUGGUGAAACUCCGUCUCUACUAAAUACAAAAAAUUAGCCAGGUCCUAUUGGUCUUGGCUCUGAGAUACCAAACCAAAAUUAAACAUGAACCAAAGUCUCUGGCCCCCACCCCAUAAAAUGUAGGUAACACAUUUUCCUAUAAGUGCAGAGUCACCGAGGUAGAGCAUGACCUA